GGAAAGGUGUUUGAUUGACAUGAAACAGAUGGCAGCAUCUUACCACACCCCUUUUUCCUAUGUAAUAAAUACUGUCGAAAUGAUGUUUUUAUUUAGAAACUAUCCACCGUUACUUUGUAACCUGUAUACUUUCUCCUUGCAAGCAAGAUUAAAACCGUUUAUUGCGCAAUUGAUUUCUCCUGUCUUACCUACCAUUUUCAUAGAACUUUGGAAUUUUAGAAAUUGCCAUCACAACACUGAGGCACAGCCAAUGAAAACAAUUAAAACAGCUGAGGAUUUGCCAGUGGAUAAUCACCAACUGUGACAGCAGACCACUUCCACAUACAGAAAAUCUGACUGACAAGGCCUUCUAGAUGACAUGAUCAAGCAUGCUUUUCUAGCUUGACUCAUUUGGAAAAUAUGCCAGAGGUCCUCAACCAGAGCCAAGGGAAAUAGUGGUGCUGGGGGUGUUGUAAUCUCAGCACCCUCUGACAAGAUUCGGAAACCACUUUUAUCUUUGUUCUAUCCCCUAAUCGUGCUACCAAUUUGCUCAGAGAUGCCUUGCCCUUCCAUGGUAUGUAAGUAACUCCUGUAUAGAGAAGUUAACAUGCUGUGCUGUUGGUAAUGGAGCUUGACAUGUUCGGUAUAACACUAGAAUCUUUUGAUUUGGAGUGAAAUGAAAGCUGGGUAAAAAAUGUUAUGCUGCACCUUUGAGUGCAUCUGUAGUUGUUUUUGUUUGUAAAGGAUUCAAGAGCAUGAGCACCAGAGGCAGUCAAGAACACAAGACAUUGUACUCUCUUACAGUGUCUUCAGAAAGUAUUUGAACCCAUUCACUUUCUCUGCAUGUAGUUGUGUUAUGGACAUUGUUUCUAAUUGUUAUUAAUUGGUAUCAAUCUAUACACAAUACCAUAUAAUUACAAAGCAAAACAAGUAAAAAACUGAAAUAUCUCAUGUACAAAUAUAUGAGUGUUCAGAUCCUUUGUUCUGUACUUUUUAAAAGUGCCUUCGGCAGCGAUCACAGGUAUUCCUGGGUAUGCCUCUACCAGUUCUGCGUGCUCAGAUUUGGUCAGGCUCUCCAAUUUUUCAGAGAUUUUCAAUGACAUUCAUGUCUGAGCUUUGGCUAGGCCACUCAAGGACAUUUACAAACUUGUCCUGAAGACACUCCAGAGUUCUUUGGGCUGUGGGCUUUGGGUUGUUGUUGUGUUAAAAGAUAUAUGCCCCAGUCUGAGUUCCUGUGCACUCUAGAUUUUUUGUUGUUCAACCAUGCCGUCAUUUUGACCUGUCGACCAAGCCCUUUCACUGAGAAAGAUCCCGAUAGCACAAUGCUCCAUGUUUCACCAUAGGGAUGGCAUUAGUCAAGUGAUGAGUGGUACCUUGUUUUCACCCGACAUGCUUUGCAUUCAGGUCUAAUCGUUUUAUUUCAGUCUCAUCAAACCAGAGAGUCUUGUCAUUUAGACUGUAUGUCAUGUGCCUUUUACUCAUAUGCUUCUUUCUAACCACUCUUCCAUAAAUGCCUCAUUGAUGGAGUGCUGCAGAGAUAAUUGUCUUGCUUUUGUUUAGCUCUUGCACAUGCAUUGUGAAGUGGGGGCCCUUAUAGACAGAGUUUGGGAGUAACGGAUUACAGAAAAUCAGUAACUGUAAUCCGUUACUUUACCAACUAAAAUAUUGUAAUCGGAUUACAGAUACUUUUGAAAGAAUUUAUGAUUACAUUUGGAUUACUUCAAUUAAAAAGAUUAGGUGUGCGACAUACUUACGACAUGUAAAAACAUUGUUAUUUGAAUUAAAAUAACAAUUGUACGCCUCAGUUGUUGUGUGUGAUCAUCAUGCGAGCAAAGGUGGGCAUGCAUAACCAGAUUAGUAACCGAUGAAGCACUAGUUUAAUUUUCUCCGGUUUUGGUUGGUUGGGUGGCUGAUAAAAACAGUACAGUAUAUCUACGCUUAUAUUAGCCGACCCAUAUAAAAUGUGAUUUAGUUAUCUACUAUCAACACAUUUCUGAGAACAAUGAUAGGCAACAAGGUUUAUUUGUCAAAUGCACCGAACAACAGCCAGAAAGAGUUGCACCGAAGAACUCGUACAGGAAUUGUUAGGAAGAUUAGGGAACUAUUUGUUAGAUACCUGUAAUAUGACGCUGCCUUCAACAUAGAACAUCAUAUGGAAUUUAUCACGAUAUUUGAGGAGAAAAGGUGUGUUGGGAAGCACUCAAAGGAUGAUUGCAUUUGAUGUAGCCAACUCAACUCUGUCCAUACAAGUAGGCCAUGUGAUUCUGCCUGCUUUGCAUCUCAGACAAUUGCGUUCAUUGGUUAUCAUUGGCUGCUGAAGACUUUGACUUUAAGCUAAAAGCGCAGGUGUAUAAUCACAGUUUAUUUCUUUCUUUUAUGUUUUGAAAAUCCAUCUCAUUGUAGCCCUAAUAAUCGCAGGGUACAUUCGCCCGAGUAAAACGUAUUUGUGUGCGGAUAUGCCUGGGGUUUCUGUAACGUUUUGACUGGUGGUUUGUUGGUGGUUGUGGAGCAAAACAUCGGACUCCUGUAGAUUUAGUGUACGCGCGAAAAUCUACGGAUUUCUUGAUUUUUAUAUACAAUAAUGUCAAUACCAUUUUUGAGAAAUUACCAUUUACUGCCAAAAGGUCUUCAAUUGGUUAUAGGUUAUUCCCAUAUGUUUUCUAAUGCCUCUUAAUAUGAAAGUAAUCAGAUUACUUUACUGAGUUUGAGUAAUCAAAAAGUUACGUUAUUGAUUACAAAUGUGGACAGCUAACUUGUAAUUGUAACCGAUUACUUUUAUAAAGUAACCUACCCAACCCUGCUUAUAGACAGGCACGCACCUUCCUAAAUCUUUUGCCACAGGUACACCUCAAUAAUGAUAAAAGCAAUUCUGGAGUGUGAUCGCAAGUGUGUAAGAUAUUUCAAGAGUUUAUUUUCUAUUAAUUGGCAAAUAUUUCUAAAAACAUUUUCUCACUUUUUCAUUAAGUGGUACUGUGUGUAGACCAAAAAAAUACAUGUAAUCCGUUAUUGAUCAAAACUACAAAAUGACACAAUGUGGAGAAAGUGAAGGUCUCCGAAUACUCUCCGAAGACUCUGUAUUGAUUCAGGUGAGGGAGUGCAACUCUUGUUCACUCAUAAACCAGGGUGGGGGGAUCCUGGCGUGAGACAUCUCAGUGGACCGUUUUCUGGGCAGGUCCGGUUAAAGGGAACAGGGAUACAUUGUCUAUUUCUGAGUCGUUCUCACCACCUCACUCCUCAACACCUGCCUUCCCUCUCCUCACCUCUCUGUCCUGGCCUCCUUUAGAAAGGGUUAUGCAGAUAGUAGCCUGUAGAGUGAAAAUACUUUGGUCCUGCACUUAUGUGUCAUCAAGCAAAUUACAUGUAGAGGACUGGAUCCCAAAACAAAUAUGUAAGGUGAUUUAAACUAACUGUCAGUUGCGCACAACAUUUUACUGAUAAAACAAUACGUGGCGUAUUGUUUUCUAAGCGUGUGCACGCUUUUCUCUUCAGACUAAAUAUAAGCAAAUUUUUAAAGAGUUUUAAAUUCCUCUGCAGUUGGAUACACGGGAUUAUCCUGAAUGAAAGGCCGCUAUGGAGAACAUUUCACUCACAAUGAAUUGACAUCUCAACCAGUUAUUGAUUUACGGGUCACAAAGGAGACUGGAUUUAGCAUGGUCUUUUACACGGAUGAGAAAAGGGGAUGGUAUGUAGAUCCAAAACAGCUUUUUCCUCUCUCCCGUGAGCAUGUUAGAUAAACCAUGGAUGAUUUUUUCUCUUGGCCAAAUUGACUAAUUUCAAGGUGAGGAAUAAUUUAUCAUCAAGUUGUAAAAAAAAGGUAGAAUUGUCAUGUCAAAUAUAGAAUCUUAUAAAUCUGAGCAUUUUGAGAAAGCAUUGGAGCAUAAAGAAAUCCUCUCUGGAUAAGCUCAAUAUAUUUUUAAACCUCCUAUUCUGGACUUGAGAUUUCAGUGUGUAGUUCAUUCGAACAUACUAUAAGUGUACAACUACUGCAUGUGUUUAAGCAAUUAUUUUACUACACUGGUAAUUUGUUGUGAAUUCCUGUAAAUAUGUAAAUAAAGGAACCAGUAGAUGGAAAUGAACAAGGGUCUCCAAACAUCUAAAGAGAGCAGGUACAGAGGAUUCAACACACUAAACAUAAAAGAACAGAUUCAGGGUUUUAGGAAGUAACUGGAGCUUUUCAUGAAAACAUGACACACUUUAAAAGUAGGUAGUGAACCCCAGGGAAUUGCCAUUGUAGGAUCAGAUCCUAUUCCUCCUUUCUGGCCUCAUGCCACGUUCAAAUGUUUUAUAGGAAUUUUUUACUGGGAAGUUUCACUUGAAUGACCGUUCAAGCUGUAAUUACAAAUGGGUCACUUGUUGACAUACUUGCUAAGUUUCACAGCUGACCUUUUUAUCUUUUCAACCCUAAAAUCUCUACGCAUCUGUUUUUGACAAAGAGUCCAUUCAGUGCUUGCUAUGACUUAGCUUCUCACCUGUCCUGUAUUCUUGUAAGCUGACUUAACACUGUUUCAAUGAACACAAAAUCUAUUGUUUUAGUUGUUUACAAUGUUAAAUUAGUAUGAGCUGUACAUUUAUAUGUUCUUUGCACAACCUUGAUUCCAAAAAAGCUGGGAUGUCUUGUAAAAUGCGAAUUAAAACAGAAUGCAAUGAUGUGCAAAUCAUUUAUCCCUAUAUUUAUUUGAAGAUAGUACAAAGUCAAAAUAUUAAAUGUUGAAACUGAGAAAUUGUAUUGUUUUUGGAAAAAUAUAUGCCAGUGUUGAUUUGAUUUGAUGCCAGCAACGCAUUUCAAAAAAGUUUGGACAGGGACCUGUUUACCAAUGUGUUGCAUCACCUCUUCUUUUAACAAUACUCUGUAAGCGUUUGGGAAAUAAGGAGAUCAAUUGCUGUAGUUCUGAAUGUGAAAUGUAUUCCCAUUCCUGCUUGACAUAGGAUUUCAGCUGCUCAACAGUUCGGGUUCUCCUUUGUAGUAUUUUCAUAACGUGCCAAAUGUUUUUAAUGGAUGACAGAUCUGGACUGCUGGCAGGCCAGGUUAGCACCUGGACUCUUUUACUGUGGAGCACUACUGCUGUAAUGCAUGCAGAAUGUGGUUUGGUAUUGUCUUGCUAAAAUAAGCAAGGCUUUACCUGACAAAGACGUUGUCUGGAUGGCAGCAUAUGUUGUUCCAAAAUGUGUGUAUGUUGUUCAGCAUUAAUGGUGCCUUCACAGAUGUCCGAGUUGCUUGUGCCAUGUGCACAAAUGCACCCCCGUACCUUCACAGAUGCUGGCUUUUGAACUGUGCGCUGAUAACAAACCAGAUAGUCCCUCACCUCUUUAGUCCGGAGGACACUGCAUCCAUGAUUCCCCAAAAUCAUUUAAAGUUUUGAUUUGUCAGACCCCAGGACAGUUUUCCACUUUACCUCAGUCCAUCUUAAGUGAGCCUGGGCCCAGAGAAGGCAGCAGCGUUUCUGGAUCUUGUUUAUAUGUGGUUUCGUCUUUGCAUUGAGUUUUUACUUGCAUUGCCCAUGCAGUGAUUUCCACUAGAGAAUCAUGUCUGUUUUUAAUGCAGUUCCACCUGAAGGCCUGAUGAUCAAAGUUUUUUAGCAUUACACAGUUUUCCAUUCUUUUGUUGCCUCUGCCCCAACCUUUUUGAAACGUGUUGCUGCAAUCAAAUUCAAAGUGGACAACAUUAUUUUGUCUUUGUACUAUUUUCUUUUGAAUUUAGGUUUUAAAGGAUUGCACAUCAUUCUGUUAUUAUUGACAUUUUACGCAGCAUCCCAAGUUUUUGGGAAAUUGGGUUGUACAAAGUGCCCAAGAAACACCACUCCAAUGCUCACAAACUCUUUAGUAUAUAAAGAGUAUUUUUCCAGGUGCAGGUGUAACUAAUAGAGCAUGAAUAUCAAUAGUAACUCCCAACAUAUUUCCAGUUACAGGUGGAAGUAAUACAGGAUUCUUAUCAGUUGUACUGCUACAGCAUGUUUCUGAUUAUGUGUGGAUUUAAUUGACUGAUUCCUGUAGAAUUAACAUUCUAUGCUAAUAUACGAUAUGUAUUAAUGUAAAUAAAUCAUGUAUUUUGCA
Molecule: long non-coding RNA, 6030 nt
Organism: Esox lucius (northern pike)
Lineage: Eukaryota; Metazoa; Chordata; Actinopteri; Esociformes; Esocidae
Source: Ensembl